Molecule: ribosomal RNA, 253 nt
Filed under: uncultured bacterium
Lineage: Bacteria
Description: partial 16S ribosomal RNA
Rfam family: Bacterial small subunit ribosomal RNA
Source: RNAcentral
UACGAAGGGGGCGAGCGUUGUUCGGAUUUACUGGGCGUAAAGGGCGCGCAGGCGGUCAUUUUUGUCGAGUGUGAAAGCCCCGGGCUUAACCUGGGAACUGCGCUCGAAACGGGAUGACUAGAGAUCGGGAGAGGAGAGUGGAAUUCCCAGUGUAGAGGUGAAAUUCGUAGAUAUUCGCAAGAACACCAGUGGCGAAGGCGGCUCACUGGCCCGGUACUGACGCUGAGGUGCGAAAGCGUGGGGAGCAAACAGG